AGCCAGACUCCUACGGGAGGCAGCAGUGGGGAAUAUUGCGCAAUGGGCGAAAGCCUGACGCAGCGACGCCGCGUGAGGGAUGAAGGUCUUCGGAUCGUAAACCUCUGUCAGCAGGGAAGAACGGUCACUGUGCUAAUCAGCAGUGAAUUGACGGUACCUGCAAAGGAAGCACCGGCUAACUCCGUGCCAGCAGCCGCGGUAAUACGUAGGGAGCAAGCGUUGUUCGGAAUGACUGGGCGUAAAGGGUGCGUAGGCGGUUGUACAAGUUAGAAGUGAAAUACCCAGGGCUUAACUCGGGUGCUGCUUCUAAAACUGUAUGACUUGAGUGCAGUAGAGGUUAGUGGAAUUCCUAGUGUAGCGGUGGAAUGCGUAGAUAUUAGGAGGAACACCAGAGGCGAAGGCGGCUAACUGGACUGCAACUGACGCUGAGGCACGAAAGUGUGGGGAGCAAACAGGAUUAGAUACCCGCGUACG
This 474-nucleotide ribosomal RNA is filed under the name uncultured bacterium. RNAcentral describes it as "partial 16S ribosomal RNA". It matches the Rfam family "Bacterial small subunit ribosomal RNA", at positions 329 to 793 of the family's 1533-position model. The record is from RNAcentral.